AAGACCUUGCGCUUUUGGAGCGGCCGAUGUCUGAUUAGCUAGUUGGUGGGGUAAUGGCCUACCAAAGCGUCGAUCAGUAGCUGGUCUGAGAGGACGGCCAGCCACACUGGGACUGAGACACGGCCCAGACUCCUACGGGAGGCAGCAGUGGGGAAUUUUGGACAAUGGGCGCAAGCCUGAUCCAGCCAUGCCGCGUGAGUGAAGAAGGCCUUCGGGUUGUAAAGCUCUUUCAGCCGGGAAGAAAAGCUUGCGAUUAAUAAUCGCAAUUUAUGACGGUACCGGAAGAAGAAGCACCGGCUAACUACGUGCCAGCAGCCGCGGUAAUACGUAGGGUGCGAGCGUUAAUCGGAAUUACUGGGCGUAAAGGGUGCGCAGGCGGUUUUGUAAGUCAGAUGUGAAAUCCCCGGGCUUAACCUGGGAACU
Molecule: ribosomal RNA, 423 nt
Filed under: uncultured bacterium
Lineage: Bacteria
Description: bacterial SSU rRNA
Rfam family: Bacterial small subunit ribosomal RNA
Source: RNAcentral